UAUUUUAAAAUAAUCCCUCUAACAAUUGUAUAGACAACCACAAUUAGAACGUCCAGGAACUUUAGGAUCGUCAAAGCAUUUUCCAACUCCAUUGUAUCCAGAAAAGCAGCUUAAACGACAAUCGACAAGAUCACAAAAAUUUCCCUUGUCAAUCGUCGUAUGGCAUCGCUUCCCCUCAUCACAUUCAACCAUUAAAAGAGCUACAAGAGUAAAACAUCGUGUUAUUAACACAAAAAAAAAUCUUAUACAUAAUGUAAAUCAGAACC
Molecule: small RNA, 266 nt
Filed under: Arabidopsis thaliana (thale cress)
Lineage: Eukaryota; Viridiplantae; Streptophyta; Magnoliopsida; Brassicales; Brassicaceae
Description: ATSL231560
Source: RNAcentral